This 1971-nucleotide ribosomal RNA is filed under the name Triticum aestivum (bread wheat). RNAcentral's name for it is "partial small subunit ribosomal RNA". The record is from RNAcentral. Lineage: Eukaryota; Viridiplantae; Streptophyta; Magnoliopsida; Poales; Poaceae.
AUGCUGCCCAAGAUGCCGUCAGGCCGGUGGAUCUCGGCUUCCCUGCUGGUCAUUCUCCUGAGCCUGCACCCCAUCGCCGACGCCUUCUACCUCCCGGGCACCUUCAUGCACACCUACGAAGCCGGUGAAACGAUCGCGGCCAAGGUCAACUCGCUCACGUCCAUCGAGACCGAGCUGCCCUUCAGCUACUACAGCCUCCCCUACUGCAAGCCCCAGGAAGGUGUCAAGAAGAGCGCCGAGAACCUCGGCGAGGUCCUCAUGGGUGACCAGAUCGACAACUCGCCGUACCACUUCCACGUCAACGUCAACGAGUCGCUGUACCUUUGCACCACCGACCCGCUCACCAAGGAGCAGGCCGAGCUGUUGAAGAACCGGGCGCGGAAUCUGUACCAGGUCAACAUGAUCCUCGACAACCUGCCGGUCAUGAGGUUCACCGAGCAGAAUGGGAUGACGAUCCAGUGGACUGGGUACCCGGUCGGGUACAACCCCAUGGGGAGCAGCGAGGAUUAUAUCAUUAACCAUCUCAAGUUCAGGGUUUUGGUUCAUCCGUACCAGGCGCAAGGUGAUGUUGUGGUCACGAGUGAGGAUGGUGUUGCUAUGGUUGAGUCUGACCGCAAGAGCGGCUUCCAGAUCGUUGGUUUUGAGGUUGUUCCUUGCAGUGUCAAGCGUGAUCCUGCAGCCAUGGCCAAGCUCAAGAUGUAUGAGAAGGUUGAGUCUGUGAACUGCCCGUUGGAGCUCGAGAAAUCUCAGGUGAUCCAUGAGAAGGAGCAGAUUACAUUUACCUAUGAGGUUGAGUAUGUCAAGAGCAACAUCAAGUGGCCGUCAAGGUGGGAUGCCUACUUGAAGAUGGAUGGUGCUAAGGUGCACUGGUUCUCAAUCAUGAACUCCAUGAUGGUUGUCUUCUUCUUGGCCGGUAUUGUGUUUGUCAUAUUCUUGAGGACUGUCCGAAGGGAUCUGACACGUUAUGAGGAGAUGGACAAAGAAGCCCAAGCUCAGAUGAAUGAGGAGCUUUCAGGAUGGAAGCUUGUUGUUGGUGAUGUCUUCAGGGAGCCCUGCUGCUCAAAGCUGCUGUGUGUUAUGGUCGCUGAUGGUAUCCAGAUCACCGGCAUGGCAGUCGUUACAAUCGUGUUUGCUGCUCUGGGUUUUCUCUCACCUGCUUCCAGGGGAAUGCUCUUGACCGGAAUGAUCAUCCUCUACCUCUUCCUUGGAAUUAUUGCUGGAUAUGUUGGUGUCCGUCUCUGGAGGACCAUCAAACAAUCCACAGAAGGGUGGAAAUCUGUCGCUUGGCUGACCUCCUGCUUCUUCCCUGGCAUUGUUUUCAUCAUCUUGACGGUGCUGAACUCCAUCCUGUGGGGUAAGAAGAGCACUGGAGCUUUACCCAUUUCACUCUUCUUCACCCUCUUGGCCCUGUGGUUCUGCAUCUCCGUGCCACUCACUCUUAUUGGAGGCUUGCUAGGCACACGGGCUGCAAGCAUAGAAUUCCCUGUCCGUACCAACCAAAUCCCAAGAGAGAUCCCUGAGCGCAAGUUCCCUUCAUGGCUCCUUGUGCUCGGUGCAGGAACAUUGCCUUUCGGCACCCUUUUCAUUGAGCUCUUCUUCAUCCUUUCUAGCAUCUGGCUGGGGAGGUUCUACUAUGUAUUCGGCUUCCUGUUCAUCGUCCUCUUCCUGUUGGUCAUAGUCUGUGGUGAGGUUUCUUUGGUCCUGACCUACAUGCACCUCUGUGUUGAGGACUGGAAGUGGUGGUGGAAAGCCUUCUUUGCCUCUGGCUCCGUUGCGUUCUUCGUCUUCCUAUACUCCAUCAACUACCUGGUGUUCGACCUCAGGAGCCUGAGCGGGCCAGUCUCCGCGACACUCUACCUGGGCUACUCCUUGAUCAUGGCAUUUGCCAUCAUGCUGUCAACUGGCGCCAUCGGCUUCUUGCUCUCGUUCUACUUCGUCCACUACCUCUUCUCGUCCGUCAAGAUUGACUAG